AGCGAACGCUGGCGGCAGGCUUAACACAUGCAAGUCGAGCGGGCGUAGCAAUACGUCAGCGGCAGACGGGUGAGUAACGCGUGGGAACGUACCUUUUGGUUCGGAACAACUGAGGGAAACUUCAGCUAAUACCGGAUAAGCCCUAACGGGGAAAGAUUUAUCGCCGAAAGAUCGGCCCGCGUCUGAUUAGCUAGUUGGUGAGGUAACGGCUCACCAAGGCGACGAUCAGUAGCUGGUCUGAGAGGAUGAUCAGCCACACUGGGACUGAGACACGGCCCAGACUCCUACGGGAGGCAGCAGUGGGGAAUAUUGGACAAUGGGGGCAACCCUGAUCCAGCCAUGCCGCGUGAGUGAUGAAGGCCCUAGGGUUGUAAAGCUCUUUUGUGCGGGAAGAUAAUGACGGUACCGCAAGAAUAAGCCCCGGCUAACUUCGUGCCAGCAGCCGCGGUAAUACGAAGGGGGCUAGCGUUGCUCGGAAUCACUGGGCGUAAAGGGUGCGUAGGCGGGUCUUUAAGUCAGAGGUGAAAUCCUGGAGCUCAACUCCAGAACUGCCUUUGAUACUGAGGAUCUUGAGUCCGGAAGAGGUGAGUGGAACUGCGAGUGUAGAGGUGAAAUUCGUAGAUAUUCGCAAGAACACCAGUGGCGAAGGCGGCUCACUGGU
RNAcentral lists this ribosomal RNA (661 nucleotides) under uncultured bacterium. RNAcentral describes it as "bacterial SSU rRNA". It matches the Rfam family "Bacterial small subunit ribosomal RNA", at positions 28 to 733 of the family's 1533-position model. The record is from RNAcentral.